AUUGAACGCUGGCGGCAGGCCCAACACAUGCAAGUCGAACGAGUGGCGGACGGGUGAGUAAUGUCUGGGAAACUGCCUGAUGGAGGGGGAUAACUACUGGAAACGGUAGCUAAUACCGCAUCCCAUCGGAUGUGCCCAGAUGGGAUUAGCUAGGAGGUGGGGUAACGUCUCACCUAGGCGACGAUCCCUAGCUGGUCUGAGAGGAUGACCAGACAGGCUGGAACAGAGACACGGUCCAGACUCCUACGGGAGGCAGCAGUGGGGAGUAGUGCACGAUGGGCGCAAUCCUGAUGCAGCCAGGCCGCAUGUAUGAAGAAGGCCUUCGAGUUGUAAAGUACUUUCAGCGGGGGUACGUUGCCCGCAGAAGAAGCACCGGCUAACUCCGUGCCAGCGGCCGCGGUAAUUC
Molecule: ribosomal RNA, 406 nt
Filed under: uncultured bacterium
Lineage: Bacteria
Description: partial 16S ribosomal RNA
Rfam family: Bacterial small subunit ribosomal RNA
Source: RNAcentral